RNA transcript from Neltuma alba, 1957 nucleotides. It is a transcript of the gene named transcription termination factor MTERF9, chloroplastic-like, with no coding region annotated. The record is from RefSeq and is a predicted model, not a curated record. The transcript is spliced from 3 exons. NCBI's taxonomy places the organism in Eukaryota, Viridiplantae, Streptophyta, Magnoliopsida, Fabales, Fabaceae.
CGCAAAGCAAAGAUUAUCUUCAUCAACCGGAGGGUUCCUCCCCUCUUCUAUUCUCCUGUGCUUUAGCUUUCUGCAAUCAAUGUUUUGUUUUCUCCGCAAAACAAUCCCUUUCCGAAGGCUUAUUGUUUUCGGCACAAUUUCUCCGGAGACUAUACUUCCGGAAUUGCUUUGUUUUCAACGCCAAUGGUUAUCUGCGAGGUACUGUAAUUCAGUCGCAUCAAAUAGGCAUUCUUUCACUGUCUCGUAUCUCAUUGACACAUGUGGCUUCUCACCACAAGAAGCUGCUUCAGUUUCUAAGCUCGUCAGCUUCGAAUCGCGAGAUAAGCCAGAUUUGGUUAUCAAUUUCUUCAAGAGUCAAGGACUCACUAAACCCCAGAUUCAUCGUUUUGUUAGAGAGCUCCCAAGACUUCUUCGAUCAGAUCCUCAGAAAACCUUAGUGCCCAAGAUUGAGUUUCUUGUAUCCAAUGGCGUUUCGAUCUCAGACAUCCCUAAGCUCCUAUGUAGUUGCCCUAGCAUCAUGGUGAGAAGCUUAAGUAAGCAGAUCAUUCCUUCCUUUCAUUUCUUUCGAGAUUUGUUUCAAUCUGACGCCAAACUCAUUCAAGUUGUCACAAAUUUCUCGGGUAUUCUUCUUGAUUUAAACAGCCGUUCCAUGCCUAAUAUGAAGUUGUUAAGAGAAGCAGGAGUUCCUGAAUCAAAUGUCAUAAAACUGUUACAAUAUUUUCCUUCGGUAAUAACCAAAAGUUGUGUUCGAUUUGAGGAGAUUGUGAAGGAAGUGAAGGAACUGGGUGUUAAUCCUGGGCAGGUAAACUUUGUUUUGGCCGUUUCUGUAUUGGCAUCAGCAAGCAAAUCCACUUGGGGAAAAAAAGUUGAUGUUUAUAAGAAGUGGGGUUGGUCGGAGGAUGACAUUCUUGCAGCAUUUAGGAAGUAUCCAUUCAUCAUGAAGGCAUCAAAAGAUAAGAUCGAUGCAGUGAUGGAUUUUUUGGUCAACAAAUUAGGAUGUGAAUCUUCCAUCGUUGCUAAAUAUCCAGGGGUUAUCUCGUUCAGUAUGAAGCGGAGAUUUUUGCCAAGAGGUGCUGUGAUUAAGAUUUUAUUGUCUAAGGGUCUCGUGCAAAAGGAGAGCUUGCCACUGCUAUUUAUGUACCCUGAAAGCACGUUUCUGAGAAGGUUUAUCAUGAGUAACCUGAAGGAGGAAGCUACUCAAUUAUUGAAGCUGUAUCAGGGCAAAUUGAAGCUGGCAAGGUGAAUGAAGAAUGGGAAAAGCUUACAGGUAUAUGCAAGCAUUUGGCGUGGGCUCUUUGGAAGACAAUUGGUCUUUUCAGUCACCCGCAACAAUUUUUUCUUCCUCCUUUAUUACUUAAUCUUCCCCCAUGGCAGAAUUUCUUGUUAUUGAUAUUGGGCGAUGUGGGAAUUUAAACAAUAGUUACAAUGGCAGCUCCCUGCUUAUGAGUCUCAUUCCAGGCACUGUAUGAAACAAGGGCUUUAGUUAAGAUUAUCCCCAUCAAUUGGUAAAAUAAAGAAUGAUUACAAUAUUCGAGCAUGGAGCCUCCUAAAAACUUUCCCCAGCUUACUAUAAAUUAGCUAACUCAUAAGAACAAUGUCGCAGAGCAUCAAAUGCAAACACUGAUGGAAGGAAUCAGACAUCUCCCCAUCAAGAAUUGGAAUGUCACUUCCGCUUUUGGAGGUUAACAAAUGUGCUAAUUGGAUUGUGAGCUUAGCUCAUGACAUUGAGGAUCAAUAUACUGUUUUUCUGAUCCUGCCCUUACUAUGUUGGACUGGAAUAGAGAUUAUUUGAGUACGUAGUGUACUAUGUUUGUUGUUUUGUUCUCUGUUUUUUUUUUUCCCAUUCAAAUUAAAGGGAUUGUAUUAAUAGUAAAGUGUUAUGAACGUGACCAAAUGCAACCUCUCACUAAUAAGAAAGCAUUCAUGCCACUAGAAUAUAAAGUCUUUGACUUCUUAA